RNAcentral lists this ribosomal RNA (460 nucleotides) under uncultured bacterium. RNAcentral describes it as "partial 16S ribosomal RNA". It matches the Rfam family "Bacterial small subunit ribosomal RNA", at positions 338 to 795 of the family's 1533-position model. The record is from RNAcentral.
CCUACGGGCGGCUGCAGUGAGGAAUAUUGGUCAAUGGGCGCGAGCCUGAACCAGCCAAGUCGCGUGAAGGAUGACGGCCCUACGGGUUGUAAACUUCUUUUAUCAGGGAACAAUUUAGUCCACGUGUACUCUUAUCGAUAGUCCCUGUAAAUAAAGCAUCGGCUAACCCCUUGCCAGCAGCCGCGGUAAUACGGGGGAUCCUAGCGUUAUCCGGAUUUAUUGGAUUUAAGGGGUGCGUAGGCGGAAUUUCAAGUCAUUGGUAAAGAUUCGGGGCCCAACGCCGGAGUGCCGUUGAAACUGAUGUUCUUGAGUGGGGUAGAAGUAGGCGGAAUGCGUGGUGUAGCGGUGAAAUGCAUAGAUAUCACGCAGAACUCCGAUUGCGAAGGCAGCAUACCGGAGUCCAACUGACGCUGAAGCACGAAAGCGUGGGUAUCGAACAGGAUUAGAUACCCGUGUAGUC